CCUACGGGAGGCAGCAGUGAGGAAUAUUGGUCAAUGGGCGUGAGCCUGAACCAGCCAAGUCGCGUGAAGGAUGACUGUGCUAUGGAUUGUAAACUUCUUUUAUAAAGGGAUAAAAUGAGGCACGUGUGCCUUUUUGUAUGUACUUUAUGAAUAAGGAUCGGCUAACUCCGUGCCAGCAGCCGCGGUAAUACGGAGGAUCCGAGCGUUAUCCGGAUUUAUUGGGUUUAAAGGGUGCGUAGGCGGGUUUUUAAGUCAGCUGUGAAAGUGUGUGGCUCAAACGUAGCAUUGCAGUUGAAACUGGCUGGCUUGAGUAGGUUUGAGGUAGGCGGAAUGCGUGGUGUAGCGGUGAAAUGCUUAGAUAUCACGAAGAACUCCGAUUGCGAAGGCAGCAUACUA
This 396-nucleotide ribosomal RNA is filed under the name uncultured bacterium. RNAcentral's name for it is "partial 16S ribosomal RNA". It matches the Rfam family "Bacterial small subunit ribosomal RNA", at positions 338 to 731 of the family's 1533-position model. The record is from RNAcentral.